GUGGGGAAUCUUGCGCAAUGGGCGAAAGCCUGACGCAGCCAUGCCGCGUGAAUGAUGAAGGUCUUAGGAUUGUAAAAUUCUUUCACCGGGGACGAUAAUGACGGUACCCGGAGAAGAAGCUCCGGCUAACUUCGUGCCAGCAGCCGCGGUAAUACGAAGGGGGCUAGCGUUGCUCGGAAUUACUGGGCGUAAAGGGCGCGUAGGCGGACAGCUUAGUCAGAGGUGAAAGCCCAGGGCUCAACCUUGGAAUUGCCUUUGAUACUGGAUGUCUUGAGUUUGGGAGAGGUGAGUGGAACUCCGAGUGUAGAGGUGAAAUUCGUAGAUAUUCGGAAGAACACCAGUGGCGAAGGCGGCUCACUGGACCGUAGUUGACGCUGAGGUGCGAAAGCGUGGGGAGCAAACAGGAUUAGAUACCCGUGUAGUCC
Molecule: ribosomal RNA, 425 nt
Filed under: uncultured bacterium
Lineage: Bacteria
Description: partial 16S ribosomal RNA
Rfam family: Bacterial small subunit ribosomal RNA
Source: RNAcentral